This 5028-nucleotide long non-coding RNA is filed under the name Sus scrofa (pig). RNAcentral describes it as "lncRNA (ENSSSCG00050077741.1)". The record is from RNAcentral. Lineage: Eukaryota; Metazoa; Chordata; Mammalia; Artiodactyla; Suidae.
GGGGGGGCAGGGGGCUUUCCAUCAGUUACCGGGGAGGCGAGGAAGCCGACGGGGGGGACAGAGAAGGUGCAGCCGGGGGAGGAGGAAAGCCGAGAGAAAGGUGCCUCUGCAAUGUAGGAUGGGAUGAGGUUUAAGAGGGAAUUAGGCGCGGUGGUGGAUGUGGUCAUCUUAGACAAUACUCCUGGUUAUAAAAGGACAAAGAUUUUCAAGGUCCCUAUGAUAGAAAAUCGUCAGUGUUUUUUUGGACGAACAAACGAGAAGGAGGUAUGUUCACGAAUGUCCAAUAUAGCCUUACAAGCUACCUAAAUAUCCACCAAGAAAGGAAUCAUUAAACCAGUUUUGAUACAAACAUAGCAUUCAGGGAACACCGUAGGGUAUAAAAAAAGUCUGUGUUCAUAUAAGCUAAAAAGGAAGAAUGUCUAUGGUUUUUUCAUUAACAAUUAGAAAUAGGGUAAUACGAUUUCAUGUCUUUGAAAAUAACUAAAUACGUGAAAUAUUAGAAUAUGCAUAUGUUAAAAUUUAGAGGUAUAGACAUCAAAUUGUUAUAAGUUCUCCUGGAAACGUUGUUGGAGGAAAAAGGAAAAUUAACUUUUUUUUUUUUUUUUCACUUUUUAGGGCUGCACUUGCAGCAUAUGGAAGUUCCCAGGCUAGGGGUCAAAUCGGAGCUGUAGCUGCCAGCCUAUACCACAGCCAUGGCAAUGCAGAAUCUGAGCCUCAUCUGCAACCUACACCACAGCUCACAGCAACUGCCGUAUCCUCAACCCACUUAGUGAGGCCAGGGAUCGAACCUGCAUCCUCAGGGAUACUGGUCACAUUCAUGUCUGCUGAGUCAUGAUGGGAACUCCCUGCUUCUAAGAUUUGGUGAGUGGAGUGAUAGGAAGUAGAGUCAAGAAGGGGGAUCUUUUUUUCUUUCCUUGUGAAAAAUAAUUGCCAUAUGUCUGCUGAUGGGAGUGUUCAGUAGAGGGGGAAAUGGGAAAUAGAGAAGUGAGACAGGGAGUUGCCGUCACGGCUGAGGGAAAUCUGAUGAGCAUCCAUAAGGACGCAGGUUGGAUCCCUGGCCUUGCUCAGUGGGUUAAGGAUCCAGCGUUGCUGUGAGGUGCAGUGUAGGUCGCAGAUGCGGCUUGGAUUUGGUGUUGCUGUGGCUGUGGGGUAGGCCGUCGGCAGCAGCUUGAUUCCACCCCGGGCCUGGGAAUCUCCAUAUGCUGCAGGCACAGCCCUAAACACACACACACACACACUCCAUCAGUAUCCUACCUACUGUGUGAAGAAGUGGUGGGUGUUCAUCUCCAGGGAUUCGGUCUCGGAUGAGAAUAAAUACAGUUCAUCAUUUUAACCAAAGAGACCCAAGUUAUAAAUUCUGGUAGAUGUGCAGAUAUUUUCAUGGGAGGUUGGUUGGUUUGGGGGCCGGGGGGCUUCACCUGUGGCAUGUGGACAUUCCUGGGCCGGGGAUCAAACCCUCAUCACAGCAGUGAUCUGAGCCACUGCGGUGACAACGUCAGAUCCUUGACCCUCUGUGCCGCAGGGGAGCUCCGUUGGUGGGCAUGUUAGGAAGCUCUUCCUGACGGCAUCGCUGUUCUCAGGGCAGUAGGACGCAGGGUCCUGGUGUCGGAUGUUGAGGGAAGGGGGUAAAAUACCUUCAAGAGCAACGGAGAGAAUGCAGAGCGAGUGGAGCAGUGUGUGAUCGCCUGGGAACCAGCAUUGUGUCCACCUGAAGUUCACAGUCGACACCUUGAUCUUAGCAAGUUAAGACCCGUGGAUCAACCCUGGAAGAAGAGAGGCAGGCGCCGUCUGCGUUGCGGGUGGUUUAGGAUGCCACAUGCUUCCAGAGCAAAUUUCUGACCCAUCGCCCCUGAGGUUUUGUAAGGGAGCAGGGAAAAGGGCGUUCUUGUCCGUGUGUUGUUGGCAAAGAGACCUCAGCCGGCCUUCUGGGCAAGGGGUCUGAUGACCUCAACAGCCUAAAACCCCCGCGCGGCCACGGCCCAUGAGGUUGUGGUGUGCGGCUGAGAGCCCCUUCCCUGGGACCCUGGGUGGCCUUGGGGACGCCUUUCCUGGCGGGGUGGGUUGCAGAGUCUUCUGCUGGCUCAGCGGAGCUGUUCUUGGGGAACUGCCCUCAGCUGGAGAGCCACCUGCUGACUGGCAGCUGUCCGGGGCUGCAGCGACCCACCCUCCUCGGCUGCGGGUGGCAUGGCUCCGAAGGGCCACGCUGGGUCCAGGGCCCCCUGGGAGAUGCGUGGAGGCCUCGCGGCUGCCUUUCAGCCCCGCUUCCCUCUUUGCAGUUCUGGUUUCUUCUCCUCCGCCCCCGACGGGCACUGAUGUCCAGGGUGUCCCCAGCGAUUCCCCGACCCCUCGGUUGCACUCACGCUGAGCCUCGUUCCCAGGGAACCCAACCUAAGGCCCUUUGAUUCAGGAAGUGUGUAAUUGGGAGUUGAGCAAGCAAAAUGGAGGGUGCAGAGAUUUGGCUCUUAGGUUAUUGCCAAGAGUGUAAAUGUGAAAUGUCAUCACAGGGAAGUUUGCCUCUUUGCGUGGUCUGCCCACAGGACCGAGGCAGCAAGCUGCUGCAGACACAUUUUAAAGCCGUGGAAAGAUUUUUUUUUUUCUUUUUACGGCUGCCCCUGUGGCAUGUAGCAGGUCCCAGGCUAGGCGUCCACUCAGAGCUGCAUCUGCCUGGCUACACCACAGCCACCCCGGAUCCAUGCUGCCUAUGCGACCUAUACCAAAGCUUGUGUCGCGGCCGGAUCCUUCAUUCACGGAGAGAGGCCAGAGAUGAACCUGCAGCCUCAUGGACACGAGAUUGGGGUCUCACCCUGCUUAGCCCCAGUGGGAACUCCAGUGAAAAGAUUUUCGCAAUGUUUUGCUAAGUGAAGACUGCCAGUUACCAAGCAGUCAGUUGAGGAAGAUGAUUAAAAUCAUUAGUGUGAAUACGUGUGUAUGAGAUUCGUGUGUCUUGAGAGAUCGGCAUGAAUAAUCACCAAGACCUUUCAAGCAGUUAAUGGAGCAAGAGAGUUACAGGUGGUGUACACUCUUUUAUCUUUUUGUUCCUAGUGGCUCAUUUUUUUUUUUUUUGAUCUUCUGUCUUUUGAGGGCCACACCUGUGGCAUAUGGAGAUUCCCAGGCUAGGGGUCUGAUCAGAGCUAUAGCCGCCAGUCUACACCACAGCUGCAGCAACGCCAGAUCUGAGCCGUGUCUGCGACCUACACCACAGCUCAUGGCCAUGCCGGAUCCUUAACCCACUGAGCGAGGCCAGGGAUCGAACCCACAAUCUCAUGGUUCCUAGUUGGAUUCAUUUCCGCUGCACCAAGACGGGAACUCCAUAAUUUUUAUAUACCUAUUAUAAUUUGUGUAAUGAGAUGAAGCAGAUGGUUAAUUUGUAGAUACAUGUAUUAAAACAUUUUUCAUCUGCAGUGUAAGAGGAACAAGAAACACGUGUGGGGAGCUGAGUACAAUGGGUUGGUGAAGCUCUGCUCGGUCCAGACCACACCAGAGCUUCCAUUCCAGCCCCUGUCAGCAAACAUCUCAAGACUUGGCUGGACAUGACUACAUUUUUAAAACUCAGGGCCCAGGGUCUUUUAAGGAUGGAUGUAGAUUCUGUUGGGCCUGUCUGUCUCAGAACUGCAGUGUAGAUGCUGAAAUGUAUAUAGUACUGGGAGACUUCAGGGAUGUAUGGCAGUGAUAUACAGAAUAUUUGAAAUCAAGACGUUUUUAAAAACUGACCUAUAGGAAGUGGCUCAGUGGUUAAUGAACCCGACUAGGAUCUGUGAGGAAGUGGGUUCGAUCCCUACUCUUGCUCAAUGGGUUAAGGAUCCGGUGUUGCCAUGAGCUGUGGUGUGGGUUGCAGACACUGCUCGGAUCCUGCAUGGCUGCGGCUGUGGCCUAGGUCAGCGGCUACAUCUCCGAUUGGACCCCCAGCCUGGAAACCUCCAUAUGUCGUGAAGUGCAGCCCCCCCAAAAAACCCAAAAAACCCCAGUGACCUUGAUAAUUGCCAUACGUGUAGGUGUUUGCAUGCUUACCCUGCCUUGGAGACGCUAACAUUAUACCGCAACAUUUGAUGAAAUUCUUGCAUCCGUAGAACUUGAAGUACUGAUGGUACCACCUUUGUGAUUUUUUUUUUUACAUCUCUGCCAUCUCUGAUAAGACUUAAUUUUUUUUUCCUUAAAUGGACCUUCUGUAGAAACCUAAGAACUUUCCUGUCCUGAUUGUAAGUAAUAAUGGGGAGAUAAAAUUGAUUUAAUUUACUAGUCAUCAUUUUCAGCUGCAUAUUAAAAUAAGUUCCUAACCAUUGAGAUGGAAGAUGUCUCUGUGCCUGUGGAAAAGCAUCACCUGCCUUCAUCCCCUGCUUGGGGAACACGCUGCCCCAGGUUGUCAGAAUCUGCAACAACAGACAUUGUGCUGGGGCUGGAGGCCCUUCUGCUGAGCUAGAAGGAGAAGAGGAAGGAAGGUCCUGGGCCCGGGCUUGUCUCAGGACCAGCAAGCCUUGACUUCUGCCAACCAUUUAUUUGUAUGUCCCUGUUGUGGAACAGGAACCUAUUGUAUGUUAAAGGGGCUUUUAUGGGCGCGUGGGAGAAGACGGAUGGCCCCGUAGCAGAGAGUAAAUUUUUAUGGACUGUUCUCUCGGGGGCUGCUGGAGACCAUCAUAGACACAAUUGAGGUUUGUUUUUUUCUUUUUGGCCGUGGGUCAUUUACCAGAGCCUGACACCCAGUUGGUGGUCGCAAAGGUUUCUUGAAUUUAAUUGACUGAAGGCUUUAAAAAACGUUUCCUGGAGUUCCCAUCGUGGCGAAGUGGUUAAUGAGUCCCACUAGGAACCAUGAGGUUGCGGGUUCGGUCCCUGCCCUUGCUCAGUGGGUUAAGGAUCCGGCGUUGCUAUGAGCUGUGGUGUAGGUUGCAGACGCGGCUUGGAUCCCGCGUUGCUGUGGCUGUGGUGUAGGCCGGUGGCUAUGGCUCCGAUUAGACCCCUAUCCUGGGAACUUCCAUAUGCUGCAGGAGCGGCCCAAGAAAUGGCAAAAAGACAAAAAAAAAAAAAAAAAAAAAA